AGAUGAGAUUUCCCAUGGAGUUAAUCCAGUAAGACCCCUUAGAGAUGAUGAGGUUGAUAGGUCUCGGGUGGAAGCGUGGCGACACGUGGAGCUGAGAGAUACUAAUCGGUCGAGGACUUAUCCUA
Molecule: non-coding RNA, 125 nt
Filed under: Anaerobacillus arseniciselenatis
Lineage: Bacteria; Bacillati; Bacillota; Bacilli; Caryophanales; Bacillaceae
Description: Bacillus arseniciselenatis Bacterial large subunit ribosomal RNA
Rfam family: Bacterial large subunit ribosomal RNA
Source: Rfam by way of RNAcentral